Molecule: unclassified non-coding RNA, 280 nt
Filed under: rhizosphere metagenome
Description: partial ribosomal RNA internal transcribed spacer region
Source: RNAcentral
GUAGGUGAACCUGCGGAAGGAUCAUUAAUGAGGGCGUGUGGGCUAAUAUCCCCGCGAACCCUAAUCCUUUGUUUACUGCCCCAUUGUGGUUUUUACUUGGGCUCGGUUUGACAAAAAAAAAAUUUUGGUCUUGUGAUAUGCCCAAAAGGCUGCCACAAUUUUUAACUCUCCCAAGGAAAAAAAAACCCCCACAUUAAAAAAAAAUCAUAAUAACACAUUGAUGUCUGAAUUAAAUUAUUUUAAACAAGCAAAACUUUCAACAACGGAUCUCUUGGUUCCG